AUGUGCAUUAUUGGUUUCCUGAGUACAAACACUAUGCACCCUACAAUUUGUGAUCCAUGGUCGCAAUGCGAAGUCGUUACUCUAUUGGUGGCACAAUAUUUUAAACACCAUCAUGAAGUAUUGUGGUGUGAUUGCACAAGUGGUGAAGAUGGUCACCGGGAGUGCCAAGCAUGGAGAUCUAAGUUUUUCUUCUUGUUAAUAUAUGUGUUGGCCAAUUUAUUGAUUCACUCAAUGUUGCAACUCGAUGAUCACGACAAUGUUAUAGCUCCAACGUGUUGUCGCGUUACUAUAGGACGAAGGGCAAGCUUUUCACAUUGA
This 318-nucleotide ribosomal RNA is filed under the name Triticum aestivum (bread wheat). RNAcentral describes it as "partial small subunit ribosomal RNA". Lineage: Eukaryota; Viridiplantae; Streptophyta; Magnoliopsida; Poales; Poaceae. The record is from RNAcentral.